Molecule: ribosomal RNA, 2852 nt
Filed under: Candidatus Poribacteria bacterium
Lineage: Bacteria; Candidatus Poribacteria
Description: 23S ribosomal RNA
Rfam family: Bacterial large subunit ribosomal RNA
Source: RNAcentral
UCAAGCUACUAAGGGCCCACGGUGGAUGCCUUGGCACCAGGAGGCGAUGAAGGGCGUGGUCAACUGCGAUAAACUUCGGGGAGGCGUAAACAGCCGAAGAUCCGGAGGUUCCCGAAUGGGGCAACCCCACCGUCUAGGUGCAUCUGGCGAACCGGGGGAAGUGAACCAUCUCAGUACCCCGAGGAAAAGAAAGCGAAUGCGAUUCCCUGAGUAGUGGCGAGCGAAAGGGGAACAGCCUAAACCGUCCGCCUGGCGCGGGCGGGGUUGCGGGGCUUCGUCGGGCAUCUGCCGGGAAGUUACCAAUCCGACCUCUAGCCGAAGCUGUCUGGAAAGCAGCGCCAGAGAGGGUGACAGCCCCGUAGGCGAAAGGGGAUCGGACUUCCUGGACGAAGUACCCAAGUACGGCGGGAGAAGCAAGACUGCCGGAAUCUGGGCGAACCACCGUCCAAGGCUAAAUACUCCCUGGUGACCGAUAGUGAACCAGUACCGUGAGGGAAAGGUGAAAAGCACUCCGGUGAGGAGAGUGAAAAGAACCUGAAACCGUGGGUCUACAAGGUGUGGAAGCGCUACCUGGGUCUCCCAGACGCGCGACCGCGUGCCUUUUGCAGAAUGAGCCGGUGAGUUACGCUCCGUGGCGAGGUUAAGCGUCUCUGACGCGAAGCCGUAGCGAAAGCGAGUCUGAAGAGGGCGUGUUGUCGCGGGGCGUAGACCCGAAACCGGGUGAUCUAUCCAUGGCCAGGGUGAAGCGUACCUAACCGUACGUGGAGGCCCGAACCCACUAGGGCUGAAAACCUAGGGGAUGAGCUGUGGAUAGCAGUGAAAAGCUAAUCGAACCCGGUGAUAGCUGGUUCUCCCCGAAAUAGCUUGAGGGCUAGCCUCGCGUGAUAGCCGUCGGAGGUAGAGCACUGGUUGGACUAGGGGGCCCACCAGCCUACCAACUCCAGCCAAACUCCGAAUGCCGGCGGCCGUAUCGCGGGAGUCAGACUGCGGGGGAUAAGCUCCGUGGUCAAAAGGGAAACAGCCCAGAUCGCCAGCUAAGGCCCCUCAAUCCGCGCUAAGUGGGAAAGGAUGUGAGGUCGCGAAGACAACCAGGAGGUUGGAAUAGAAGUCGUCAUCCUUGAAAGAGUGUGUAACAACUCACUGGUCGAGUGACCUUGCGCCGAAAAUUCUCGGGGCUCAAGCGCGGUGCCGAAGCUGCGGGUGGUGUGCCUUCGAGCACGCCGCGGUAGGGGAGCGUUCUGCACCGGCUGAAGGCGGACCGAAAGGGCCGCUGGACGGUGCAGAAGUGAUGAUGCCGGCAUGAGUAGCGAUAAAGCAGGUGAGAAGCCUGCUCGCCGGAAGCCUAAGGGUUCUCAUGCAAGGCAACUCCGCAUGAGGUUAGUCGGGUCCUAAGCCGAGGCCGAAAGGCGUAGGCGAUGGGAACACGGUCAACAUUCCGUGACCAGCUCGGGAGGUUGAAGGAGCGGGGACGCAGGCCCGUAGCCCACAGAUGUUAUCGGAUUCGGAGGCCGAGCCUUCGGGCAAAGCCGCGUGGGUCAAGGGACUGCCAAGAAAAGCCGUCUCCGGACGAACGAGCUGCCCGUACCCCAAACCGACACAGGUAGGCGAGGAGAGUAUCCUCAGGCGCUCGAGAGAACUCCCGUCAAGGAACUCGGCAAAAUGACCCCGUAACUUCGGGAGAAGGGGUGCCACCUUCGGGUGGCCGCAGAGAAAUGGCCCUGGCGACUGUUUACUAAAAACACAGGUCUCUGCUAAGUCGUAAGACGACGUAUAGGGACUGACGCCUGCCCAGUGCCGGAAUGUUAAGGGGAGGGGUUAGCCCUUCGGGGCGAAGCCCCAAACCGAAGCACCGGUAAACGGCGGCGGUAACUAUAACCGUCCUAAGGUAGCGAAAUUCCUCGUCGGGUAAAAUCCGACCUGCACGAAAGGCGUAACGACUGGGGCACUGUCUCGACGGGAGGCUCGGCGAAAUUGUAGUGCCGGUGAAGAUGCCGGCUACCCGCAGCAGGACGGAAAGACCCCGUGAAGCUUCACUGCAGCCUGACAUUGGGUCUUGGCAUCACCUGUGCAGGAUAGGUGGGAGGCUGAGAACCCAGGGCGCCAGCUCUGGGGGAGCCGCCGGUGAGAUACCACCCUGGUGAUGCUGGGGCUCUAACCGACCCAAGUCAGCCUUGGGCGGGACCGUGUCAGGUGGGUAGUUUGACUGGGGCGGUCGCCUCCUAAAAGGUAACGGAGGCGCCCAAAGGUUCCCUCAGCACGGUUGGAAACCGUGUGGCGAGUGCAAAGGCAUAAGGGAGCCUGACUGCGAGACCUACAAGUCAAGCAGGCGCGAAAGCGGGGCUUAGUGAUCUUACGGUACCGAGUGGAAGGGCCGUGACUAAUCGGAUAAAAGUUACUCCGGGGAUAACAGGCUGAUCGCGUCCGAGCGUACACAGCGACGACGCGGUUUGGCACCUCGAUGUCGGCUCAUCGCAUCCUGGGGCUGCAGGAGGUCCCAAGGGUUGGGCUGCUCGCCCAUUAAAGCGGUACGUGAGCUGGGUUUAGAACGUCGCGAGACAGUUUGGUCCCUAUCCGCUGCGGGCGUAGGAGGACUGAGGGGAGCUGCCCCUAGUAUGAGAAGACCGGGGUGGACGGACCUCUGGUGUACCAGUUGUCGCGCCAGCGGCACCGCUGGGUAGCUAUGUCCGGACGGGAUAAACGCUGAAAGCAUCUAAGCGUGAAGCCCACCCCAAGAUAAGUCCUCCCACCGGGAUAACCGGGUAAGGCCCCUCGGAGACGACGAGGUCGAUAGGUCGGAGGUGUAAGCGCAGCAAUGCGUUGAGCUGACCGAUACUAAUGGCCGAGGGCUUGAC